UACAGAGGUCUCAAGCGUUGUUCGGAUUCAUUGGGCGUAAAGGGUGCGUAGGCGGCGCGGUAAGUCGGGUGUGAAAUUUCGAGGCUUAACUUCGAAACUGCAUUCGAUAGUGCCGUGCUUGAGGACUGGAGAGGAGACUGGAAUUUACGGUGUAGCGGUGAAAUGCGUAGAUAUCGUAAGGAAGACCAGUGGCGAAGGCGGGUCUCUGGACAGUUCCUGACGCUGAGGCACGAAGGCCAGGGGAGCAAACGGG
Molecule: ribosomal RNA, 253 nt
Filed under: uncultured bacterium
Lineage: Bacteria
Description: partial 16S ribosomal RNA
Rfam family: Bacterial small subunit ribosomal RNA
Source: RNAcentral